UACAAGCAGUGGGAGCCUCUUAAUGGGGUGACUGCGUACCUUUUGUAUAAUGGGUCAGCGACUUAUAUUCUGUAGCAAGGUUAACCGAAUAGGGGAGCCGAAGGGAAACCGAGUCUUAACUGGGCGUUAAGUUGCAGGGUAUAGACCCGAAACCCGGUGAUCUAGCCAUGGGCAGGUUGAAGGUUGGGUAACACUAACUGGAGGACCGAACCGACUAAUGUUGAAAAAUUAGCGGAUGACUUGUGGCUGGGGGUGAAAGGCCAAUCAAACCGGGAGAUAGCUGGUUCUCCCCGAAAGCUAUUUAGGUAGCGCCUCGUGAAUUCAUCUCCGGGGGUAGAGCACUGUUUCGGCAAGGGGGUCAUCCCGACUUACCAACCCGAUGCAAACUGCGAAUACCGGAGAAUGUUAUCACGGGAGACACACGGCGGGUGCUAACGUCCGUCGUGAAGAGGGAAACAACCCAGACCGCCAGCUAAGGUCCCAAAGUCAUGGUUAAGUGGGAAACGAUGUGGGAAGGCCCAGACAGCCAGGAUGUUGGCUUAGAAGCAGCCAUCAUUUAAAGAAAGCGUAAUAGCUCACUGGUCGAGUCGGCCUGCGCGGAAGAUGUAACGGGGCUAAACCAUG
RNAcentral lists this ribosomal RNA (624 nucleotides) under Escherichia coli. RNAcentral describes it as "partial 23S ribosomal RNA". It matches the Rfam family "Bacterial large subunit ribosomal RNA", at positions 565 to 1191 of the family's 2925-position model. Lineage: Bacteria; Pseudomonadati; Pseudomonadota; Gammaproteobacteria; Enterobacterales; Enterobacteriaceae. The record is from RNAcentral.